RNAcentral lists this long non-coding RNA (387 nucleotides) under Ornithorhynchus anatinus (platypus). RNAcentral describes it as "lncRNA (ENSOANG00000033913.2)". The record is from RNAcentral. Lineage: Eukaryota; Metazoa; Chordata; Mammalia; Monotremata; Ornithorhynchidae.
AUUUACUCAUGCCCUAUCAUCUACUUAAAUGAAUCCUCAAAUCCUUGCAUUAACAGAUCCCUCAGAAAAAAAACUGCCACAAGGAGACAUUUAUUUGCAAGGUGUCAUGGAAGAUUGGCUUUCAUCAGUGUUUUACAGGCAUUCAAAGUGCUACUAAAGAGGAUUGUUUAAGAGAUUCCUCUUUCCUUCCCCUGUCUGCUACUCAUGGAUGAUGGACUGCAGGCCACUUCCCACAUUGAGUGGUUAGCUCUGCAUCAGGCUGGCUUGAGGAAUAUUAGAUUCUCGAGCUUGGCCGAACCCAGAGGUGCAUCCUGUCCCUUUUUCCCUGGCAAGUUCUGGAAUGGGCUAGUGGAGUCAGGAGUCAGAUGCGUGGUCUUACCCAAUUAG